Molecule: ribosomal RNA, 372 nt
Filed under: uncultured prokaryote
Description: bacterial SSU rRNA
Rfam family: Bacterial small subunit ribosomal RNA
Source: RNAcentral
UACGUAGGGUGCGAGCGUUAAUCGGAAUUACUGGGCGUAAAGCGUGCGCAGGCGGUUAUAUAAGACAGAUGUGAAAUCCCCGGGCUCAACCUGGGAACUGCAUUUGAGACUGUAUAGCUAGAGUGCGGCAGAGGGGGGUGGAAUUCCUCGUGUAGCAGUGAAAUGCGUAGAUAUGCGGAGGAACACCGAUGGCGAAGGCAACCCCCUGGGCCUGCACUGACGCUCAUGCGCGAAAGCGUGGGGAGCAAACAGGAUUAGAUACCCUGGUAGUCCACGCCCUAAACGAUGUCAACUGGUUGUUGGGUCUUCACUGACUCAGUGACGAAGCUAACGCGUGAAGUUGACCGCCUGGGGAGUACGGCCGCAAGGUUG